This 421-nucleotide ribosomal RNA is filed under the name Vibrio parahaemolyticus. RNAcentral's name for it is "bacterial SSU rRNA". It matches the Rfam family "Bacterial small subunit ribosomal RNA", at positions 697 to 1117 of the family's 1533-position model. Lineage: Bacteria; Pseudomonadati; Pseudomonadota; Gammaproteobacteria; Vibrionales; Vibrionaceae. The record is from RNAcentral.
UCUGAAGGAAUACCGGUGGCGAAGGCGGCCCCCUGGACAGAUACUGACACUCAGAUGCGAAAGCGUGGGGAGCAAACAGGAUUAGAUACCCUGGUAGUCCACGCCGUAAACGAUGUCUACUUGGAGGUUGUGGCCUUGAGCCGUGGCUUUCGGAGCUAACGCGUUAAGUAGACCGCCUGGGGAGUACGGUCGCAAGAUUAAAACUCAAAUGAAUUGACGGGGGCCCGCACAAGCGGUGGAGCAUGUGGUUUAAUUCGAUGCAACGCGAAGAACCUUACCUACUCUUGACAUCCAGAGAACUUUCCAGAGAUGGAUUGGUGCCUUCGGGAACUCUGAGACAGGUGCUGCAUGGCUGUCGUCAGCUCGUGUUGUGAAAUGUUGGGUUAAGUCCCGCAACGAGCGCAACCCUUAUCCUUGUUUG